AUGGCCGCCGCCGAUGCGUCUCCGCACCACCAGGACGCUCGACGACUGCUCGCAGAGCACAACAAUCUCUCCGCGAAACCGGGCCUCCCGGUAGACGCAAGGGUCGUCGUCCGACCACAAGAGCAGCCUGGAACCACCGCCGUCCUGAUGGAUGCCGAUGGAGAACCCUUGUGCCCCUGCUGGCCCACGUGCUGCUAG
RNAcentral lists this ribosomal RNA (198 nucleotides) under Triticum aestivum (bread wheat). RNAcentral's name for it is "partial small subunit ribosomal RNA". The record is from RNAcentral. Lineage: Eukaryota; Viridiplantae; Streptophyta; Magnoliopsida; Poales; Poaceae.